UCAUCAGGUGGGAUAAUUCGUACCUGUUCCUGGUUUUGGAGGGCAGAUAGACCAUGAUAAUUGGAGUUAGCGUGAUCCACGAUUAAUGUCUUUGUGUAAUCAGGACUUGCAAACCCUGAUUGUUUGUAUCUCAU
Molecule: small nucleolar RNA, 134 nt
Organism: Sapajus apella (tufted capuchin)
Lineage: Eukaryota; Metazoa; Chordata; Mammalia; Primates; Cebidae
Product: U8 small nucleolar RNA
Exons: 1
Source: RefSeq, a predicted model, not a curated record